RNAcentral lists this ribosomal RNA (3034 nucleotides) under Salmonella enterica subsp. enterica serovar Birkenhead. RNAcentral's name for it is "23S ribosomal RNA". It matches the Rfam family "Bacterial large subunit ribosomal RNA". Lineage: Bacteria; Pseudomonadati; Pseudomonadota; Gammaproteobacteria; Enterobacterales; Enterobacteriaceae. The record is from RNAcentral.
GGGUUGUGAGGUUAAGCGACUAAGCGUACACGGUGGAUGCCCUGGCAGUCAGAGGCGAUGAAGGGCGUGCUAAUCUGCGAUAAGCGCCGGUAAGGUGAUAUGAACCGUUAUAACCGGCGAUACCCGAAUGGGGAAACCCAGUGUGAUUCGUCACACUAUCAUUAACUGAAUCCAUAGGUUAAUGAGGCGAACCGGGGGAACUGAAACAUCUAAGUACCCCGAGGAAAAGAAAUCAACCGAGAUUCCCCCAGUAGCGGCGAGCGAACGGGGAGGAGCCCAGAGCCUGAAUCAGCAUGUGUGUUAGUGGAAGCGUCUGGAAAGGCGCGCGAUACAGGGUGACAGCCCCGUACACAAAAGCGCAUGUGCUGUGAGCUCGAUGAGUAGGGCGGGACACGUGGUAUCCUGUCUGAAUAUGGGGGGACCAUCCUCCAAGGCUAAAUACUCCUGACUGACCGAUAGUGAACCAGUACCGUGAGGGAAAGGCGAAAAGAACCCCGGCGAGGGGAGUGAAAAAGAACCUGAAACCGUGUACGUACAAGCAGUGGGAGCCCCACCACCAAAGCAUUCUCUGGUGUUGAAGGCCCUGCAAAGCAGCAUCGCGGUGGCGGAGCGUCGUUUGCGACGCCCAACACACAAAACAAGCGGUGAGUGCUUUGGGGUGGGGUGACUGCGUACCUUUUGUAUAAUGGGUCAGCGACUUAUAUUCUGUAGCAAGGUUAACCGUAUAGGGGAGCCGUAGGGAAACCGAGUCUUAAUUGGGCGUUAAGUUGCAGGGUAUAGACCCGAAACCCGGUGAUCUAGCCAUGGGCAGGUUGAAGGUUGGGUAACACUAACUGGAGGACCGAACCGACUAAUGUUGAAAAAUUAGCGGAUGACCUGUGGCUGGGGGUGAAAGGCCAAUCAAACCGGGAGAUAGCUGGUUCUCCCCGAAAGCUAUUUAGGUAGCGCCUCGUGAAUUCAUCUCCGGGGGUAGAGCACUGUUUCGGCUAGGGGGCCAUCCCGGCUUACCAACCCGAUGCAAACUGCGAAUACCGGAGAAUGUUAUCACGGGAGACACACGGCGGGUGCUAACGUCCGUCGUGAAGAGGGAAACAACCCAGACCGCCAGCUAAGGUCCCAAAGUCAUGGUUAAGUGGGAAACGAUGUGGGAAGGCCCAGACAGCCAGGAUGUUGGCUUAGAAGCAGCCAUCAUUUAAAGAAAGCGUAAUAGCUCACUGGUCGAGUCGGCCUGCGCGGAAGAUGUAACGGGGCUAAACCAUGCACCGAAGCUGCGGCAGCGACGCUUAUGCGUUGUUGGGUAGGGGAGCGUUCUGUAAGCCUGUGAAGGUGGCCUGUGAGGGUUGCUGGAGGUAUCAGAAGUGCGAAUGCUGACAUAAGUAACGAUAAAGCGGGUGAAAAGCCCGCUCGCCGGAAGACCAAGGGUUCCUGUCCAACGUUAAUCGGGGCAGGGUGAGUCGACCCCUAAGGCGAGGCCGAAAGGCGUAGUCGAUGGGAAACGGGUUAAUAUUCCCGUACUUGGUGUUACUGCGAAGGGGGGACGGAGAAGGCUAUGUUGGCCGGGCGACGGUUGUCCCGGUUUAAGCGUGUAGGUGUGUGUUCCAGGUAAAUCCGGUUCACUUUAACACUGAGGCGUGACGACGAGGCACUACGGUGCUGAAGCAACAAAUGCCCUGCUUCCAGGAAAAGCCUCUAAGCAUCAGGUAACAUCAAAUCGUACCCCAAACCGACACAGGUGGUCAGGUAGAGAAUACCAAGGCGCUUGAGAGAACUCGGGUGAAGGAACUAGGCAAAAUGGUGCCGUAACUUCGGGAGAAGGCACGCUGACACGUAGGUGAAGUGAUUUACUCAUGGAGCUGAAGUCAGUCGAAGAUACCAGCUGGCUGCAACUGUUUAUUAAAAACACAGCACUGUGCAAACACGAAAGUGGACGUAUACGGUGUGACGCCUGCCCGGUGCCGGAAGGUUAAUUGAUGGGGUCAGCGCAAGCGAAGCUCCUGAUCGAAGCCCCGGUAAACGGCGGCCGUAACUAUAACGGUCCUAAGGUAGCGAAAUUCCUUGUCGGGUAAGUUCCGACCUGCACGAAUGGCGUAAUGAUGGCCAGGCUGUCUCCACCCGAGACUCAGUGAAAUUGAACUCGCUGUGAAGAUGCAGUGUACCCGCGGCAAGACGGAAAGACCCCGUGAACCUUUACUAUAGCUUGACACUGAACAUUGAGCCUUGAUGUGUAGGAUAGGUGGGAGGCUUUGAAGUGUGGACGCCAGUCUGCAUGGAGCCGGCCUUGAAAUACCACCCUUUAAUGUUUGAUGUUCUAACGUGGACCCGUGAUCCGGGUUGCGGACAGUGUCUGGUGGGUAGUUUGACUGGGGCGGUCUCCUCCUAAAGAGUAACGGAGGAGCACGAAGGUUGGCUAAUCCUGGUCGGACAUCAGGAGGUUAGUGCAAUGGCAUAAGCCAGCUUGACUGCGAGCGUGACGGCGCGAGCAGGUGCGAAAGCAGGUCAUAGUGAUCCGGUGGUUCUGAAUGGAAGGGCCAUCGCUCAACGGAUAAAAGGUACUCCGGGGAUAACAGGCUGAUACCGCCCAAGAGUUCAUAUCGACGGCGGUGUUUGGCACCUCGAUGUCGGCUCAUCACAUCCUGGGGCUGAAGUAGGUCCCAAGGGUAUGGCUGUUCGCCAUUUAAAGUGGUACGCGAGCUGGGUUUAGAACGUCGUGAGACAGUUCGGUCCCUAUCUGCCGUGGGCGCUGGAGAACUGAGGGGGGCUGCUCCUAGUACGAGAGGACCGGAGUGGACGCAUCACUGGUGUUCGGGUUGUCAUGCCAAUGGCACUGCCCGGUAGCUAAAUGCGGAAGAGAUAAGUGCUGAAAGCAUCUAAGCACGAAACUUGCCCCGAGAUGAGUUCUCCCUGAGACUUAGAGUCUCCUGAAGGAACGUUGAAGACGACGACGUUGAUAGGCCGGGUGUGUAAGCGCAGCGAUGCGUUGAGCUAACCGGUACUAAUGAACCGUGAGGCUUAACCUUACAACGCCGAAGCUGUU